CUCUCUCCCUCGGGAUCGGGACCGGGCCGCGGGGCAGCGAUCCCAAUCCCAGAGGGGGGGUCAAAGGGCGGGAGGGAAGCAGCGGAGCAGAGCAGAGCAGAGUGCUAGGCAGGCGGCCGCGGGACGCCGCACACGCGAAAAGCAGGAGCGGCCGGGCCGGGCCGCGGCCGUUUACGGCACACAGACUGGCACAGGUAAGCCUCCGCCCGAACCACAACAGCAACGGCGGGAAUGGAAUGCCAUGCCCCCUCGACUCCUCUAAGACCCGCUCUAGGCCACUCGCCGCUCUACGUCGUCCUAGUCGCGUUCUUCUCAAGGCGUCUCCGGCUCAAAAAAUGCCUCAUGCCGCUGCGUUCAGCUAUGUUCUAAGUCCUUUAGCAACCUUUCCCGUCGAUACCACAGCACACGAGGCGUUAUCUGCAGGUGUGGCCUCUCUUUCACCGCUAUUUUUUCUAUGUACUAUAGAAACUCGUGUAUAGACUACGACGUGCCUAAGAGGCACUCUAGUUCGAAGACUCCGAGAAUUCUGUAGGACUGUAACAACUCUAGUUCGUAUAAUACAACGGAGGUAGCUCUUCUCUGAAGUUUCUAUAAAUACAGCAAAAACUCGAGUACCUCAGACUAGAGGUGGUCCAAUAUUUCCGAUUACUACUGAACUGUUUCCUCGUAAUGGUCAAGAAAGAAAUGGUUAAUGAGGCCCGAGACUUUAUGUAAGUGUGACGAUUACAAAUAGUGGCCCUGGAUUUCGGUUUCUUAUAUAACCGUUUAAGGUUGACGUUUGACUUCUAAACACUAAAACCUAACCGUGCUCAACGUAAGUUGCUAUGGGGGUGUUGUUAGAAAACCUGCCUAAUACAACGCUGUUCUACCAUAUCUCGAGGUCUCGAGACACCAAGGAAGAAAAGUUUCAUAUGUGGGCGGUAACUACAGACCUCGUAGCCUACGUAGAAACGACUCCAGAACUGUCCUUUUGGAAACAAAGGACCAUUUUUACAACAUGUAGUCAAUCUAGACUACUGACUAGAAGACCCGUGUGGUAGAUACCUAUGUUAGAGAGCCCAGGCCUUACUCUUUCGUUCCUCCAUAGACUCGUCGUACUCUUUCUUUCUCGACUAAAGUAAAAGCGUAUUUAAAGGGUUACGUCUAGGAAACCGGAAUCUGGACAACGUUUCCGAAAAUCGCAAACUAGGUUUCCUGGCGGGUUGACGACUUCUCCGUAACAGAGUAGGCAUGAAAUUUCCCGAACGGUUCCAACUCUCUCUUGGUAGGACGGUUGGUUAGUGUUUUUACCUCAAACUCAAACUCGCAUCUUCUCACUGUUUUCUUCUGUAUUCCCUCGAAUAUAAAGCACUCUAUAACCUUAUGGUAGGUGUUAACGAGUUUCUGAUGUGGUUACCUUGACUUUCCUGUUGGAAAGAUAUGGGUUCACGACAACUAGUUAAAUCCUUCGUCAAACGAGUAGAACUUCUUUUAUCACUCUUGCCGGGACAUCAAGGUUACCUAUCUUUCGUGUGGAGAGAAGGAUCCAGAUGAUAACAAGUGAGUCGAGGUUAAGUACCGUUCCUUGUUGGGGCAUAACCGGGUAGUUCCCUAUUCGGAAGCGGACUGCUCAGAAUAUUUUUAGUAGCUCUAAGUCUUUUUAUAAGACCGUUACAGGUCUCUUGGAGUGUCCGAGGUGUUUCUCACGGUUGUCGUUCUGGUCCUUCCCAACAACCAGGUCAAGACGGAAUGCUUUUACCACCGUACUUCCUAUGUAUACUGGGUACUUCUCACCGUCGUUACUUGAGGCCAAUAGGAGGGGUUGUUGUUUAGGGCGUUUAUAUGCCAAUAAUAGUCUGUGGCCGUUUCAGUCGAACGAGGCUCGGUAGCGUCCGGCUUUACAUAUGCGACGUGGUCGUCCGGAUACGAACGCGUUUGUCAAGUUGACACGGACUACAACGAGACCUGUACUCUCGUGGAGGGAAGGUAGUCAGUCGUCCCGGCUUUUCCCCAAGAAGACUAUCCGAUAGUCGCCUUAGUUUGGAUAUGAGCUCUAGGGAAUUACCGUAUCGAGGUUGAUGUUGUCCUCACCGCCGUUCACGAGUGUCCUUCCAGCCGCAACAAGGGAUGCCAUACAGCGUCUACAUAAUCACCGGUCAGUCCGCGUAGGCUGUACGGAAGGACCUCACGCCGACCACCGAAUUGCUUUGUCGCUCUUUGCUUCACCGCCUAGUUCGAACCCACCCCUACGGUGUUCCAAAUGUCGCGUCCCGUCGGGCCCCAAACUACGAAUACAAACGACAGACUAGACCUUCGCACACUUCGAGAAGCAAGACAAAGCCCGGUAGUCGAACAACAUAGACGGACACACGUGUGACCUACCCCCACCCAUCAGUCAGGUCACCGAACAUUAGACUCGAUAAAUCCGCGGCCAAUGAAAAAGAUCCCGCUCCUCUGUCUUCCCUUUCCUUCCUUACGAUUGGGCAAAGGACAACAUAUCUCUACAAACAGUAGUUACACGUUGAAGUCUUUCUAUAUAUAUUUGAAUAUUUCGUGUGAAGACGACGU
This 2547-nucleotide ribosomal RNA is filed under the name Triticum aestivum (bread wheat). RNAcentral describes it as "partial small subunit ribosomal RNA". Lineage: Eukaryota; Viridiplantae; Streptophyta; Magnoliopsida; Poales; Poaceae. The record is from RNAcentral.